UAUUCAAAAUAGCGUGGAUGUCGGGGGA
Molecule: non-coding RNA, 28 nt
Filed under: Rattus norvegicus (Norway rat)
Lineage: Eukaryota; Metazoa; Chordata; Mammalia; Rodentia; Muridae
Source: RNAcentral